CCCGCGUGGCCGCGUCUUCUGCAUCCAGCCACAGCCAAGGGUUUCCUGGUUGACAUGUCAAGCCCCGCCGGCGGCCACAAGCACCGGAGUUCCACUGGUGAUGCGUGUCACGCCCCAUGAACCUUCUCCUCUUGCUCUCACCUCUUUCUUCCCUGUCCCUCACCUCUCUUUCUCUCUUUGUUGACAGGAACACCCAUGGCGCCUCUACUUCGAGGCCUCGCGCCACGACCAGGUGCCCCAUCAACCCUGACCUGCCCGUCGGUCCUCUCCUCCCCACCUCGCACCGCAGCUCGUGCACCACCGGCGACCAGUAGGGGAUCACACGGGUAUUUUGGAGCCUCUAUAAUGUCAAUGUGAUGGAAUUCUGGCUUGGUGCCUCCUGUCUAACUUGAUUUCUUCCGGGGAGUUGAGCUACAAAGAGUUCUUGACACAUUGCUAUUGUUCAGUUUCCUUAGUAUAUCAAGACGGGGGAUUUUCGAAAGUGCUUCAAUACUCGGUCUUUCUUACAAUAGACAAUCUCAAUAUGUAUUGUCAGAUAUGCUCCAUCAAGCCUUGUAGUUCUCCACGCCUAGGGAGCGUAUUCGGGCAUCAUUUCAAUAUGACAAUCCAAUGUACGAUCGAGCCCGUGCGAACCUUACCACAAAAAUAUCGAGCGAAAUCUCUGUCGUAUAUUUGUUUCCGCCUUGUUUUGUAAGCCUCAUCUUUUGUUUUAUUAGAGUAUUGUAAUUCCGGUUUCUUUGAUGUCAAGUGGUGAUUUCAUAUCUUUUUUUA
Long non-coding RNA from Hordeum vulgare subsp. vulgare (domesticated barley), 771 nucleotides. RefSeq lists it as uncharacterized. The record is from RefSeq and is a predicted model, not a curated record. NCBI's taxonomy places the organism in Eukaryota, Viridiplantae, Streptophyta, Magnoliopsida, Poales, Poaceae. The transcript is spliced from 2 exons.